This 429-nucleotide ribosomal RNA is filed under the name Actinomycetes bacterium. RNAcentral describes it as "Actinobacteria bacterium partial 16S ribosomal RNA". It matches the Rfam family "Bacterial small subunit ribosomal RNA", at positions 355 to 776 of the family's 1533-position model. The record is from RNAcentral. Lineage: Bacteria; Bacillati; Actinomycetota; Actinomycetes.
UGGGGAAUCUUCCGCAAUGGGCGAAAGCCUGACGGAGCAACGCCGCGUGAGUGAUGAAGGUCUUCGGAUCGUAAAACUCUGUUUUUAGGGAAGAACAAAUGUGUAAGUAACUAUGCACGUCUUGACGGUACCUAAUCAGAAAGCCACGGCUAACUACGUGCCAGCAGCCGCGGUAAUACGUAGGUGGCAAGCGUUAUCCGGAAUUAUUGGGCGUAAAGCGCGCGUAGGCGGUUUUUUAAGUCUGAUGUGAAAGCCCACGGCUCAACCGUGGAGGGUCAUUGGAAACUGGAAAACUUGAGUGCAGAAGAGGAAAGUGGAAUUCCAUGUGUAGCGGUGAAAUGCGCAGAGAUAUGGAGGAACACCAGUGGCGAAGGCGACUUUCUGGUCUGUAACUGACGCUGAUGUGCGAAAGCGUGGGGAUCAAACAGG